Triticum dicoccoides is the source of this 2241-nucleotide long non-coding RNA. RefSeq lists it as uncharacterized. The transcript is spliced from 5 exons. NCBI's taxonomy places the organism in Eukaryota, Viridiplantae, Streptophyta, Magnoliopsida, Poales, Poaceae. The record is from RefSeq and is a predicted model, not a curated record.
ACAAGCACACUAUCUCACCCUGGCCACACACAAACCUAAACCUAAAUCGCACACCAGCCACCGCCACCCUUCCUCUCCGUCGAUUCGGUCAUGCCGCUGCACGUCCCACCGUCGCCCGCGGAAGCCUGCGCCACCCGAAGCUCCCGUCCAGCUCGCAGUGCAGCCCCACCACCAGCAGCCUGAGGUGAAGCCCCGUCGUCAGCUCAUCCGGCGACCGACGCCGCGUCUGCCGAUUCGGUCGCGCCGCUGCGCCUCCACCGCCAGCGGCGCCACGCGGCCACCCGAAGCUCUUGCCCAGCCCGCGGUGCAUCCCUACGUGUCGCCCUGGCGAUGGACGACCCACCCACCGAUUUGCGCUGGUGCUUCUCCGACUGCCAUUAGUCCCCCCCAAAGCAUCCUUACACCCCGUGCUUCCAUCCACAGCCAAGGAGCCGCACAAACCCCUGCAUCCCGAGGUGGCAGCCAGCCGUCCCUCUUCCACCUCCGGUGAUGGCUCCCUAUUCCCCCUUGUCCUGCCCUCCUUUAAAUCCAACCGUUGCAUCCUCGUCUUCAAUUGAAUCUAUUUACAGAGGGAAAACUCCACAAGAGGCUUCUGAAGCUUGGUCAACACCUACAUGAGGAUUAUGAAAGGUUGAUCCAAGCCAGCUUCAGAAGGAGCUCAAGGCAUACAGGAAGACCGAGGACGAGGGGAUGAACACACUUUUGAACACUACCUCCAUUUCUGUGCAGUUUCUCUCAAGAUGCAAGCUGAAAUGCUGGUGAUCAAGAAGAACAGUCCUGUGAAUGGCAUCAUCAAGCUCAUCGAACAGCAUUACAUCACAAACCAUGUCAUGGGAACAUCUUCCUUCUCACCGUGUGUCCAGAUCAAAUACAGCUUCAUAACAAGGAUUCAUCUAUAAACAUGCACAUCAAAAUUGCCCGCAGACUUCUAUAUAUAUAGGCACUAAGAUGUGAUAAAUCAUGAUGGCACACUAUCAACUUAUAUAAGUUCCUUGAGGGUAAAAGCAAGUAAUGAACAAGGUACUAGCUUUCUAUCCAUUCUUUUCUUUAUUCCGACGUGAACUAUGUUGUCCUCCCUGAAAUGGUGAAAAAUGUCUAUAUAACCAUGUUAUGCAUGAUUUUGCUAUGUGUGUAACAUUUCAAGGGCAACUUCUUAGCUCAACUGAUGGCUGGAUGUCCUUUAUUACAAGCGUGCAUGCUCUAACCAUUUGUUCUUUCUUGUCGUGAUGGAAGAUGUAACACCAUUUACUUGCUAGGUCACUUUCUUACAUUUUCUAAACAGAAUCAUUCGAGUUUCAAUUCUAAAUCAGAUUUGCUUACUAAUGGAUAUCAAUAAUUAUGCUAGGUCUGUGAAUAGUUUAGUGGCUUGUAGAUGAACUGAGUGCCUGUAGUAAUUAAAUGGACUAUAGAUGAACUCAGAGCACAUAGUAAAUGGCUGGCAUGAUUUUAUUAUAAAUUGUGUGAAGAUCAUCCUAGCAAUUACUCACACUAGACAAUGCCUAACUAGAGUGCAUCUAUUGAACCAAGAUGCAUGUGUAACCAUAUGGUCUUCGAAAUGGCUUUUUUUACCAAGUGCAUUUCCUGCUAUCACACAUAUGACUUCUGGUACAUGUACAAGUGCAUAUCUGAUUAUUUGAUGGUUGAGGGCCUUCAAAUACAAAUUUGUAAAGUUACAAUAAGAACCUUAUUUGUUAUGCCUUGGAACAGAUCCGAGUCAAUGAGUGCAUAAUUUUUCUAUUAAGGCAUGUGAUAAACUAGUUGAUAGCCUGACUUUUGUUGGUGCUUUGUUAAGGAUAUCUUCUGUAACCAAAUUAUUUGUAGUACAUAUUCUAUUUUUAGAUCUUUGGGAUCAAAGGCAACUCACAAAUUUGAACAAAUUCUCAUUUCUAAUAUUGCUCAAACAUGUAAGUUCUUUUGCAGCGAAAUGGCACAUCCAGAAGUUGAUACAAGAUGUUUUGAUGGUCGGUUUUGUUCAUAACAUGUUUGGCACAUUUUGUGGAUAUGGAAGUUGAUGUCAGCUUGGUGAUCGAAGAGAUUUGGUCUCUUCCUUAAUAUUUUGUAGUAGUCAAGUGAUCGAACAAUUGGGUCUCUUAGGAGCCUAGCCAUCAUAUUUUGUAAUAGACCAUGUCUUGUAUGUCAACUUAUUUACUUAUUGGUUGUAGCUGACUUGAGUGUAGGAAACUACUGAAUCUUCUAUAUAUGCUUGAAUGAAUGUAUUAAUCAAUGGUAUGUUAUGAUGAA